UCACACACAACACGAGUACACGUCCUUCUCCUCACCUCAUGAUUCAUAGGAAUGCAUAUGGCUGCCAAUUUACUCACAUUCCUACUAGGAACCCUAGCCGCCGCACGCCGCCCGUCGCCCACCGCUGUGGCCCGACGCCCCAUGCCCAUGAGAUGUGAGCCGGUGACGACCGCCGCAUUGAGACGUGCGGCGCGCCCCUGACCGAUGAAGAUCAGCACCCCGAGCCCCGGCCCCGACCAGUGGAGACCGGCGCCCCACGCCAUCAGUCGUUCCACUGUCCGCGACACAGCCGUUCGCCGCCGGUGACGACCGCCACAUAGAGGCGCGCGGGGCGCCCCUGAUCGAUGAAGAUCGGCGCCCCGAGCCAAGGCCCCGGCCAGUGGAGAUCGGCGCCCCGCGCCGCCAUCCCCGACCCCCCGUCAGUCGCUCCACUGCCCGCGACACGGCCGUCCACCGCCGGUGCUCCGCGCCCUGAUGAGUGGUUCAACAUCUGCAGUCCAUCACCACUCAUCACCACCCGUCUUCUUCAACUCUGCUCGUGGGCUCGCUGCCUACUGCCCUCCUUUAUUUCUCCACAUCGCAGCUGAAGAGAUGAUUGAAGAAUUUGGCGACAAGGUGGAGGGAAAGCACAAGGUCCAUGGUGGUGCUGAAAUUGAUUUGUUUGAUAUCAAGUAUUAUGUUAUCAAGUACUAAGUGAUGGUGGUCUGCUGUUUGCUGCUUGUCGAUUCCAAUAUUCCAUGGGCUAUUGUAUCUUGUGAUCUUCUUACUUUGUGUCAAAUAUAAAUGGUGUUGCUUGUUAUCUUCUCACUUGUCAAAUGUAAAUGUUGUUGCUUUUUGUCUUCUUACUUUCUGUCAAAUAUAAAUGAUAUGCAUACAUGAAUAUUGCUGCUGGACUA
This is a long non-coding RNA of Triticum urartu, 896 nucleotides long. RefSeq lists it as uncharacterized. The record is from RefSeq and is a predicted model, not a curated record. Lineage: Eukaryota; Viridiplantae; Streptophyta; Magnoliopsida; Poales; Poaceae.